Long non-coding RNA from Equus caballus (horse), 9734 nucleotides. Lineage: Eukaryota; Metazoa; Chordata; Mammalia; Perissodactyla; Equidae. The record is from Ensembl.
CAAGCGUGACGGGUGCUGGGGAGGGUUAUGCUUGGUGAGUUUGACCACAGUGUGCACGGAACUUCUAGAGAAUGAUUCACUCUGGGGCCCAGAGUAACCUUUCCAGACUUGGGACCCCUGCCCCCAUCCUGUCCCUCAUGAGGUGUGACAGGCAGUUGCUCUCGCCCCCUUGGACCUCUGCUUAAAGGCAGCAGCGGUCCCCAGUGGAAUCUCCCGCUUGCAUAAGGAUUUCUUACUCUGAACAAGGAUGAGGCACUUGGGUAGAUGGGAUGGAGGUUGUACCCCUAUGUUGACCUGGCUUCUAUCCCCUAGGUCCCAAUGCUGUGCCUGGCCCUCAGCUGGACACUUCUACGGGUAUGUUACUGAAAUGGAUCCCAUUAUUCUCUUUUUAGAGAUGAAAAAACUGAGGUUCAGAGAAGUCAAGUCUCUUGCCCAAGGUUACACAGCAUGCCGAGAACAGAGCCUGGUCUGUCUGCCUCCACUCACAUCCAGUGCUCUCCCCAGAGCCCACUCUAGCCUCCCAGCUGCUGGAAGGAAGGCAGCCAACGUGUGGGGCUCAGCACUCUCUUAGCUGCCAUCUGCCGGGAGACGAGCAUUCAGCUGUUCGCUUCGCUGGUGCUAUUUCAUUAGUUCACACUAUUUCCACCUGCUGUGGUUGGGAACAGGAUACAGGGCUCCUCACGUCCAGGGCCCUGGCAGGCCGCGUGGAUUCUGCACGGUCUAAUGAUAGUUCUGAGGCCAGACCUGUGAGAUGACGUGUAUUCACUCGAAGGAAUCUCGGCCCCAUUCCGGAGAGCCGGAUCUUGGGCCUGUGGCCUGGUUUCCCCUCCCGCCCCUCACCUGUAUUUAAGCAUAAUUUCACCACUGAGAGAGGCCAAGGGGUAGAGGGUCCUAAGGGUGGUCAGGGCACGUAGGUGGACAGCCCUGGGUCCCCACUCUGGCUCUGCCAGUUACCCACUGUGUGACCUUGAGCCAGUCGCUUCACCUCUCUGGGCUUCAGUUUCUCCAUUGGUGAGAUGGAACUGAAGAGGAAGCUGUGGUGAAGAGUUAGUGAGAUCAUGUCUGCGGAAGGGCUGUGGAGGAUACGAAAUCCUACACAAAUGAUAGUCAGGCUGGUUAUCAUUGCAAGGGAUUCACCCUUGCUCCCGGCCUGCCACGGAAUGAGAGGACCCCAGAGGGGCUUUAAGGAUAGACACGUGGAGAACCAGGCAGUGCCAAUCCCUGACCACCCCUGGCUUUCCCAGCAAGGUCUCCAAGACCAGGACUCAGUGUCCUUGCUGGGGAGUCAGGAGCUACAGAUAGGAGAGAGAAGGGAAGGAGUGGAGAAGGUGGGAGGGGAAGGGGCUGAGAGUGGUCUCAGACCCAGUGUGGCCCUUGAUGGGGCUGGGACUCAGGAAGGUGAACUGAGGUGAGGCUGGAAGAGCGAGGUGUUGGUGGCCCCUGGCCGCCUGGGUUGUGUCUUUCUCUUGAAAACCCCAUCUCGUCUUGUGGUGCUCAGAGGAGACCAGCGGAGAGUUUGGUCCCUGUGUGGGGUGGAGUUAUAAAGCGGGGCAGGGCACCCCAAGAUCACGGCCGUGGAAAUCAGAAGACCUGGUAGAAAUCGGUAACGGGCAGCCUCUGGGGUUCUCCCUCCUUGGGUUGGCUGGGGGAUGUGCAUGGAGAAGCAGAGAGAGGUCGGUCUGCAGAAUCUCUAAGAACACUCUUGGCUCCCGGAUGCCUGCUGACAUCAGGGGAGCAGGCGACACCAGGUUUGGGCUCAGCUCAGAUGCACACGGCGACCCUGGGUUAUCAAGGCAACAGCCUCCUCACGUUAUCAUCUCUCCCUCGGUCCACUUCUACCUCAGUCCCUCUGUGCUCCCAUCACCAUAACAACCCACAUCCCAUAACAAAGAGUUAGAGUGAUCGUUGAGAAAGAUGUGUGUAUAUGUGUGCGUGUCUGUGUGUGGUGUAUGUGUGUGUGUGUGUGUGCAUGUGUGCCCGCAGGGGCAGCUGAUAACUUUCCAUGUAUUUUUCAGGAUUCCCAGCCAGUGCCUGGUACUUCCUCCCAGGUGGGCAAGGAGCUCUAACAAUCCACAUGUGUCCUCUCCGGCACCCAGCAUCUUUGCAUCAAAAUCAGAGGAAAUCAGGACACAGACACACAGAGGGAGACCGUGUGAAGACACGGGGCGAAGACGGCCGUCUGCAAGCCCAGGAGAGAGGACCCCGAUGGAAUCCACCCUGAGACACCUUGAUCGCAGACUCCCAGCCUCCAGAACCGUGAGAGAAUCAAUGUCUGUCGUCUGAGCCCCCCAGCAUGGUCCUUUGUUGAGGCUGGCCCAGCAAACGGCCACACCAAUGACAGAAAGAGGCUGCUGGAGGGGGCGCGAGAAGGUAAAGGUCUCCCUUCCCAGGAUCAUGACACAGACGCUGGACCACGUUCUCAUGAAAACUCUCCAAGUCCUUUGAAAUGGUUACUUUUCCUUUUGUUUAAAAAAUUUUAUUAAAAAAGUGACAUAUGGGGGCUGGCCCCGUGGCCGAGUGGUUAAGUUCGCGCGCUCUGCUGCAGGCAGCCCAGUGUUUCGUUGGUUCGAAUCCUGGGCGCGGACAUGGCACUGCUCAUCAGACCACGCUGAGGCAGCGUCCCACAUGCCACAACUAGAAGAACCCACAACGAAGAAUAUACAAAGGCUGAAUCAGUUUGAAAACACAACGGUUCCCAUCUGCUGCAGGACUGUAGACUAACCCACAGAUCAUGCUGGAGGCCAGGACUGAGGUUUGAAGAAGGACGACGACUGAGAAUCGGGAAAUAAACACAUGGGCACCGAGGCAGCGAAGGACCGGCUGGCACUGCAGGACGGCCGUCCUCCUGCUCCCCCUCCUUUCCCCCUCCUCCCCCUCCUUUCCCCCCUCACUCUCCUUCUCUCAAUCUCCCUCUUCCUCCCUCUCCUCUCUCUCUCUCUCUCUCUCUCUUUCUUAACUGGCUUGCUCCUUUCCUUUCUGUCUCCUCAGCCAGCCUUCCCCCUACCCCCGAUCCCCGACUUUCAGUCAUGAGUCCUUGUCUUAUAGAUCUAUAAGAUUGGGGGGCCCUUAGCAAUCAACUGAUCAAUUCAACUGUCCCCUUGUUUUAGGCUUUUCCUUGUAUUGCCUUUUUUUUUUAUUGCAAUAGAAAAAUGCAUAACAAAAUCUACCAUUUUAAAGUGUACAGCUCAGGAGUGUUAAGUAUGUUUACACUGUUACGUCAACCAUCUCAUUUUACAGAUGGGAAGCCUGAGGCUCAGAGAGGACAUAAGCCACAGGACGGAACCAGCAGAGCAAGAACUCACCCUGGGCCUGUGGAUGGCCUCCUGGGUCCUGAGGAGGCAGGACACACCUAAGGGCAGAGCAGGGUGGGGAGGGAGAGGCCCCGCAUGAGCAGAAGAGGCUGGGUCGUAUUCAGACCGUGGUCUGAGCUCUGAUCCGUCCUCCUCCUCAGCUGGAAAAGGUCUAAAAUAUCAAGUGAAACCUUGAAAACGUGAUGCUAAGUGAAGAAGCCACAUACAAAAGGUCACACGGUGUAAAUUCCAUUUGUGUGAAAUUCCCAGAACAGGUAAACCCACAGGGACGGAAUGGGGCUGGUGGUUGCCAGGGGUGGCGGAGGGGGCAGUGGGGAUAAUGGUCAAUGGAUGCAGACCUUUAUUAUGGGGUGAUGACACUGUUUCAGAACUAGAUAGAGGUGGUGGUCGCAUAACACGGUGAAGGCAUGGAAUGAAUUGUUCACUUUCAAAAAUGGUUAACUUUCUGUCAGGUGAAUGUCACCUCAGUUGAAAACGUGUUUUUCCACCAGAUUCUUAGUGUGUCCUAUAGAUGACAAAAUAUCAAAUGACGGUCGUUUUUACUGACAGAGUUGUGUGCGUCAUGUCACACUCCAAGGAGACCUGGCCUUUGGUUGCCCUGAGGACUUCAGAGACCGCUGUGACAGUGGCUUGUAUGUGGCUGCAGGUGACAGCAUGCUCCCUUCUCUGGAUGUUUUCUUGCCUUCUCCCCUCUGCAGGCCCUUGACACCGGCCGCUCAUCCCUCAGGGCUUAGCUCAGGCAUCACCUCUUUCGAGAAGCCCUCCUUGAUUCCUUCCCCCCCGGUUACAUGCACUUGCAUGCUCCCUGUGUUUGCUGUGACCAUUCCUGUGAGCAGUGACCCAUGCACCUGUCUGCACCCCACCCUGUCCAUGUACCCCUGAGGUCAGGGACCCUGUGGAGGCAGAGUGGGGAGGAAACUACGUUGUAGAUCUUGGUGCCACAUUGGCCUGGGUUCAAAACCUGGCUCAGCCAACUUAUUAGCUCUGCGACCUUGGGACAAGUUGCUUAGCCUUCAGGAACAUCAGUUUCAGGUGUAGAGAAUGAAGAUAAUGUUUUCCUUAUGGGGCUGCGCCAAGGAGCCUUGGUUGUAUAAUCUCAUUGCCUGCGAGAUGCUUAGCUCCGCCUCCUCCUCGUUGUUAGGAUUAUUAGAUUGCUGCCUGUUUUUCCGUAGUUUCAGCCCUUUCUGAAUAUUUUCAAACCAUCUUGCUGACCAUUUGGACAACAAACUGGGCAGAAUGCCUCACCGAUGGGGCAGCCUGGUGUCCAGAGGGAGGGUGGCAGUGGCACGGGAGGGGCGAGCUGGGGGAGCUGAGGCAGCGAGGAGGUGAGUGGGGGGUGAGUGUUUGGGGACAGCGACGCGUGCUGUUGUGUGUGGACAGGAGAGGAUAUUUAGGCUGACUCCUACCUCUAGCCGUGUGAUGCGGCCCGAGACUCGCCCUCUCUGAGCCUCCACUUGCGCUUCUGUAAGUUGAGACUCUGGAGACUAUUUCCCUGGAGUGUUGCGAGGGUGAAAUGAAGGCCCUGGUGGGCUGACCUGAUGCAGAGAGGGGGGUCACAGGAAGCUCUCAAUCACUGUGGAUACGCGGAGCACCCCACCGCGACUUCUUGCUUGUGUAACGUACGUGCUCUAUGGGAGAAUAAUGUCACGCAACAGAAAUAGAAAUAUACCAGCUGGGUCCUGAGCAGAUUCUUCAGUAAGUGAGCUUUCAAGGACUCCAAAUUCCUACCCAGGUUCUUAAAAUGAUUUGCAGACAAGCAGGAAGUUCCAUUCCUGUUGGCAUGGCUGGUGCCUGGUCUUGUAGGCGGAGGGGAGCUUGCAAGGGGCAGGCGAGGCCAGACGCAGGAAGUGGUGCCCGCCCUUGGAUUCAGUCGGACCACAGGUGUGGGCCACGACCCCUCGGCUUUUGGAGGGUGAGAGGGAGGGGUGAGGAGCGUGACCAGGAUCAUUCUCAGGGGCCAGGUGAUAGUUGAGUCCCCUGGUUGUGCAACCUUGGAACAAGGUGGGGGACAUGGGGUUCCCCUCUCCGGGCUGAGGAGGCCAGAGCAAGCAGCUCCCUGAAGAAUCCAAAUUCUAGGGUGGGAGUGAAAUUAAAGUGUUACAUGCACAAGCGAUAAAGAAAUGUCACCAGGAUGAGCCCAAAAUCGUGAGCUGAUCCCUCACUUCCCUCCUCUCACUUCCCUCGGGCCUCACCGUGAUGGAAGGAAACACACUGCAAAUUCGAGACCAGCUCGGAACUCCCGGAAAUGCUCCAGCCGCUGGAGCUCGGCUUCUCCUUCUGUCGAAUGGGCACAAUCCGCCCACUUCAGCAGCUUCCUGUCUGAGAUGCUAGGGGAGGUCCCUGGCACGGGGCCCGCUUCACAGGCAUCCAGUCCCUGCUGUUCCUCAUGCUUCUUUCUUACACGCGGCGCAAUCACUCACCUCUCCAGGCCUCAGUUUCCUUAUCUGGAAAAUGGGGGAGGCAUGUUGUCCACCUUCCCACUGAGGGAAGCCUGUGAGCUAGAAGACAGUAGGGGGACGCCUCUGUCCCCGCUGAGCCCUGGAAGUGCUGAGUAGGGGCUGGGGGGGAUGGAGAUGUCCGAGGAGCUGACCCUGCCCUGGAGACUUGUUGCCCCUCCCUCGGCCACCCUCCUGGUUGGUCUGCUCCCCGUUCUCCGUGGCUCUCAAGCUCUGAGAAAAUAGGAGACCCAAGCUCGGCUCAAAUCGCACCUGUCACCUCUGAGGCUCCCUCAGGGGUCCACGGGCUGACCGUCCUCCCUGGGUUGAAGAAACGUGUCAUCUUGGUUCUUCUCUGGGUCAACGUUCUCUGCAUUAGACAAGACAGAUCCUGGAGCCUUUCUCCUCAUGAUGGGAAAUCAGUCAGUCCGUCUCCAGCAGGUAUUCACCGAACAAAACACCUAGGACAAUGUUUCUGCUCCAGGUGUGUACGAACUGGCUACAGUACCCAUACUGUAUACGGUGUUUGGAACAGUGGGGGGUACAUGAAACUUUGUAGAUGUGUGUAAAUAUGUGUAUACCUCCAAGAGUUUCUUCACCAGGUCCCUAUGGCGUACAGUUCAGGCCACUGCCGUGUCUUUCUUGGAGCGUAACAGUAAAUGUUCAUAUAGACACAUACACAUAUAAGAGUUGGAAAUGCAAAGGCAUCAGAGAGGUUAAGUAUCUUGCCCAAAGUCACACAGCAGGUAAGUGGCAGAGCUGGGAUCUGAACCCCGACAGUCCGGCUCCGCUCACCAGCAACAGCCUCUGAUUUGCCCUUCUGCCUGCAGAAUCAGCCCCUCCAACCACCUUCCACACACUGAAUCGACCAUCCCCUGCUUAAAGGGGCGGCCUCUCGCCUGUGGGAUGGCAGUGAAACCCCUUGGGCAGGUUCCGCUGCCCUUCCCUGCCUUGUUUUUAGAAGUGGCCCCUUUGCAACAUACAUUUGAGAUCAAUGUCUCUCAGUCUUUUUUCGUAUAAAGCCUCCUUUAUAAUAUCAAAAUAAUUCCUGAGUCGAGCAUGACAAUAAUUCUAUUUUUAGUAGCUACUGAUUGAAAAAAAAUCUACCAAGAAAAAGCUACCAUGAAUUCAGCAAUACUUUUAAAUAAAUUUGAUAAGUUGUUCUAUGUGAUAAAUUAUUUUUUCAGUUUAUAAACCAGGCUGGAUUCAGAGGUAAAUUCUCAGACUUCUAUAAUAAAUCCUUGGAUCCAGAGAUCCUUAGCCCUCAGCUUGGAAACCACUUUUUUUCCCCCCUUCCAAAAUCUUGCAGGUUCCUGAGGCACAUUUGAACAUGCUGAUCCCUUGUCCUGGAGUGACCCUCCCUAAGGACCCGGCACGAGCAUUGCCUCCUCUGGGAAGUCCUCCCUGACUCGUCGCCCCACCAUGGCCAGUGAACGUCCCUGCCCCAUCCUCUCUGCACCGUGGCCCGUUCCAUCCGUGCCCACUUCACACUGUCUUGUCAUUGUUUGUUGGCAAACACUGUUGUCUAAUUUGGCCAUUGAGAACAAGAGCUUUGGCAUCUACGGGACCCAGGUUCCUGGCUUGGCUGAGGCGUCUCCUAGCUCUGGAAACUUGGGCAAGUCCCUCCGCUAGUUUUGGGCAUCAGAUUCUUCAUUUGUAAAAUGCAGAUGCUCAUACCGCCUGUCUGCCCAGCAUCCCAUAACUCGUUCUGGUAACAGAGACUGGCUUUUCCCCUCCCUCCUCCCUUCAUCCUUCUUCCUCCCUUCCUCCUUUCCUUCCUCCCUUCCUUCCUUCCUACCUACUUUUGCAUCAGGAAUUCCUUCCAUGCGGUUUGAUAGGCUGACAGUGGGGGGCGGGUGUUCCAGACGUGGCCCAUAAGAGAACUCCAUCCCCUGGUCAUAGUGAUUGGUCUAAAGAUGAGUGUGUAAACCCAAAUGAACCUUUUCUAGACCUGCUUGGAACUCUCUGUAAGAAAAUGGGAAGGGAUUGUCUCUUCACACAGGGGUUGCUAAGCAGGUGGGAUGCAGUCCUAAAGGAGUGGGCAGCCAUCUUAGCCACCACAUAGAGAGAAUCUGUCUGAGAAAUGGAGAGAAAGGUGAAACCUUGAUUAUAUCAUAUGAGCUCCUUGAUCCAGCCAUUCCUGAAGACAGAUGCACAUCUGGGCUUCCAGUUACAAAAGCCAAUAAAUCCUCCUCCCCCCACACACAUACCCCUUUUUUAAGAACUUAAGUCAGCAUGACACAAGUUUAUCCCACUUGCAGCAAAAAGACUCCUGACUAUGAUAGUCGAUUAUAUUGACGGUUCCUGAUGAACUACUCUUUUUACUAUUCAUGCCCUUGUGUUGUCACCUCCUCUUGACUUCCGGUAGGGCUUGCAGUUUGAUGUAAUUAGUGGAAUCGGAUGGAAGUGAUGCUGUGCCAGUUCUGGGCCUAAGCCUGAGGAAGCCUGAAAGCUUCUGUGCUCUCGGGAGCCCUGAGCUGCCAUGUAAGUGCAGGCACCCUGCUGGAGAGACCACGUGGAGAUGCCACAUGAGGAGGGAGAGGCCCAGACACCACGCAGAGAGAUAGCAGCCCAGCUUCCCCGUGUCCUAGCUGAGCCCAGUCCCCGUCUCCCUGCCAGCCGGAUGCAGCCACAGGAGGGAGCACAGACAAAAGCAGAAGAACCUCUCAGUUGAGCCCCGUUCAGAUGACAGAAUUUGGAGAGCUGAUGAAAGGAUUGUUGUCUUAAGCCCCGGUGUUCUGGUGUAGCCUGUUACACAGCCACAGAGAACUGAAGCCCUGACAAACAUGCGGCUUCACGGGGUUGUUGUGGGAACGGGGUAAGAAGCGUGUAAAUUACCUGGCACCUGGCUGGCAUGUGGGAGGUGCUCCUCAAGCAUCAACUAUUAGUUGUCUUCUUGUGGCCGUUGCUACAUGUUUGCUGCCUAAAUUAGAUUAUGUACUUAUUGGGGCAACACGUGUGUCCUACGCAUUGCUGUAUCUCCCGGGAUGCAGCACAGGACCGGGCAUAUGCUAGGCAUUCUGACAACGUUGCUGUCGAUGAACAAAUGAAUGGACAGCAAGGGGAAGUGUUUGCAAAAUGCGAAACCCGGACCCUUCUGCACAGUUUGUCUUAGCCCAUAUUUUUUGAUCUGAACAUGCUUCAGGUGAAAUUCUAUUCAAAGGAUAUGUGGACCACUGAGAUCUCCAGGACAACUGGUCUCCUCGUAGCAACUCAACGAAGCGGGCUGAGGGAGGCUCCCCCACCCUGUGGCUGCGCCAUCUGGAACACGGGCUCUCAUUGGUUGGUGCACCAGGGGAACACAGGGCGUGGAGAAUACCACAUUGGCUCUUAAAUUCUUUCCCAUAGAAGGGACGCGCCUUACUUCCAGUUACUUUUCAUUGGCCAAAGCCAGUCACCCGGCCCCAGCUAACUUCAAGAGGCAGGAAGUGCAGUCCUCCGCUGUGGCCUGGAGGAGAGGAGAAUCAGAAUGCCAGUGAGCAGCAAGGAUGUCUGCUCUUCCAUCUCCGCACCACUCGUCCCAGGGGGCAAGGCCACGUAGUACCCAUGUGGCCACUCGGGACUCACACACGUCUGACAGGGGGCUGUUCUCAAAGAGGGAACAGUUUUAAACCAGGGAGCCACCCCAGGAGAUGCUUAUGAAAUAAGGGCAAGACAGCCGACAGCUGUGCCGCACAGAUUAGCUGUGGUGAUAGAGAAUAACAGGCCUAUUACCCCACGCGUCUCAUGUGACAGAGAGAAAAUCAAGAUCUACUAAUAAAGUGCCUUGCCUAGGCCUUAGAGAUCAAUUAAUUUUUCUUUUAAAAAUUUAAUAUUUAUGAGAUAAAGUCGGUGUGGCAAAAUGGUAACAGUAAUUCUUAGCAGUGGGUAUGUCAUUCAGUGAAAUUCCUUCAACUUUUCUGUACGUUUGAAAUUUUCAUAAUAAAAUGUUGGCAAAUUUAAAACUACUUUUAGAAAAGUUAAUAGGUUUACAUGCUUCCGAAUCGAA